RNAcentral lists this unclassified non-coding RNA (345 nucleotides) under soil metagenome. RNAcentral's name for it is "partial contains 5.8S ribosomal RNA, internal transcribed spacer 2, and large subunit ribosomal RNA". The stretch from base 1 to 120 matches the Rfam family "5.8S ribosomal RNA", at positions 35 to 154 of the family's 154-position model. The record is from RNAcentral.
GAUGAAGAACGCAGCGAAAUGCGAUAAGUAGUGUGAAUUGCAGAAUUCCGUGAAUCAUCGAAUCUUUGAACGCACAUUGCGCCCUCUGGUAUUCCGGAGGGCAUGCCUGUCCGAGCGUCAUUGCUGCCCUCAAGCACGGCUUGUGUGUUGGGCUCCGUCCCCCGAUCCCGGGGGACGGGCCCGAAAGGCAGCGGCGGCACCGCGUCCGGUCCUCGAGCGUAUGGGGCUUUGUCACCCGCUCUGUAGGCCCGGCCGGCGCUUGCCGAUCAACCAAAUUUUUAUCCAGGUUGACCUCGGAUCAGGUAGGGAUACCCGCUGAACUUAAGCAUAUCAAUAAGCGGAGGA